AUGCUUUUCAAUGACAAUCACCUCCAGCAAAACUAUAAAAUGAAAUUUGUUGCAUCAUCAUUAAACCGUCAGAUGUAUACGAACGGAAUCAAUCGCGUGCUUGGAGAGGAGUUUGCUAGGGUUUUGAUCCAUAAAAGCAACGCGGAGGAAAAAAGGGACACAUGUGGGAGUAAGGGUUUCUUCUAUACUGCAACCAUGUCGGGCUACGGAGAUGAGCCCGGCGGCGUACUCAGGAGGCCAGGAGCUCCACACCUUCCUCAAUGCCGCCGCUGUCAUAGGUUUGAGUCUGUGGUGUCAAAUCGCUAG
This 306-nucleotide ribosomal RNA is filed under the name Triticum aestivum (bread wheat). RNAcentral's name for it is "partial small subunit ribosomal RNA". The record is from RNAcentral. Lineage: Eukaryota; Viridiplantae; Streptophyta; Magnoliopsida; Poales; Poaceae.